This 253-nucleotide ribosomal RNA is filed under the name uncultured bacterium. RNAcentral describes it as "partial 16S ribosomal RNA". It matches the Rfam family "Bacterial small subunit ribosomal RNA", at positions 524 to 776 of the family's 1533-position model. The record is from RNAcentral.
UACAGAGGGUGCGAGCGUUAAUCGGAAUUACUGGGCGUAAAGGGUGCGUAGGCGGUUUAUUAAGUUAGAUGUGAAAUCCCCGGGCUUAACCUGGGAAUUGCAUUUAAUACUGAGAGACUAGAGUAGAGUAGAGGGAAGUGGAAUUUCCGGUGUAGCGGUGAAAUGCGUAGAUAUCGGAAAGAACAUCAGUGGCUAAGGCGGCUUCCUGGACUCAUACUGACGCUGAGGCACGAAAGCAUGGGGAGCAAACAGG